UUCAACGGAGAGUUUGAUCCUGGCUCAGGACGAACGCUGGCGGCGUGCUUAACACAUGCAAGUCGAGCGGUAAGGCCUUUCGGGGUACACGAGCGGCGAACGGGUGAGUAACACGUGGGUGAUCUGCCCUGCACUUCGGGAUAAGCCUGGGAAACUGGGUCUAAUACCGGAUAUGAC
RNAcentral lists this ribosomal RNA (177 nucleotides) under Rhodococcus erythropolis. RNAcentral describes it as "partial 16S ribosomal RNA". It matches the Rfam family "Bacterial small subunit ribosomal RNA", at positions 1 to 179 of the family's 1533-position model. Lineage: Bacteria; Bacillati; Actinomycetota; Actinomycetes; Mycobacteriales; Nocardiaceae. The record is from RNAcentral.